Unclassified non-coding RNA from Apis florea (little honeybee), 8685 nucleotides. NCBI's taxonomy places the organism in Eukaryota, Metazoa, Arthropoda, Insecta, Hymenoptera, Apidae. The record is from RefSeq and is a predicted model, not a curated record.
CCUGUAUCUAGCCUGUAUCUACUACGCAACUUCCGCUAACUCGCUGCUGAGCAAAAUGGACGCCUUUGUGUCUGUUUUCCUCGUAUUCAUACUAUAAAUACUGUUUUCCCCGCGAUGCACCACCUUUGACAUGGCGAUGUUUACACGGUACCGUGAAAAAUGUAAGUGAAAAUCGUGCUGUGCCGCAAAUCAAAGUGCAUUCCUCGGUGAUCGACGAGAAAACGCAUCCAACCAAAUAGGCCAGAACACGGAUGACAAUUGAGUGAAUAUCUUUCACGACGAAAACUUUUUCGAACAAACUCGCACGAACGGGGUCGCUAUUUUGGUAGACGUGUAAAUAUCGACGAUUUAUACGCGUCGAACGACACGGGAAUCUUGGAUAUCGAUACACCUCCCGCCAAAAUUCCAUUCACUGCUUGUAUUCUGCAGUAUAAAUAAUCGUUGUACAUAACUAGCGGAAUUGUGUUCAUUUGGGAGGUUUCCAGCCUGUAGCAUCCUUCUUAAAGCCAUGUUAUCAUAUGUAUAAUGUUGGAUGGUAUAUACUCGACAACUGGAGGUCAAGAAAUUAAUUCUAAAAAUGGACCGUUUAUUGGAGGAUCCACGUGCUUCAUCAAAAUUUGGUUGAUAAUUUCUAGUGCAUCAUGGGAACUUAAAAGAGACAUUGUUAAGUUCCCAAUAUAUGCCUUAGUGGUAGUGUUCUUUAAUAAGCGUUAGAUACAAUUCUGUUCAUCAGUGAAAUAUAUCCUAUAUUCGGAAUGCCUUGAAAAUACGAGUGUAGAGAUUUUAACAAUGAUUUCUUUAAGCAUUCGUGGUAACAGUGCAUUUAGAUAUGUUCUGUUGAUUUAUAUUUAUCAUAUACUGUGAAUAAGACUUUUUAUAAUAUGUCAGUGCAGUGUUUGUUACGUUGGAUAAUUCUAUGAACCUCAGAGUACAUGUAAGGACACUGGACCUAAUUUUAAUAAUAUUUUUUGUCCAGGCUGUAAUGCCAGAACAAGUCAAAUUCAAGAUGAACGGGGUUAUACCGAGUGUGCCAAUCACAACUCUCGCUGGUAUUGCGAGUCUUACUGACUUGUUACCUGAAAUGCCCCUGCCAACACCGUUGCCUCAGACUUUAACUAACAAGUCCCUUUUAUUUCAUCCAAGAGUGGCAGAGGAAGCACAAAUAUUACUAAGUGUUCGAAAUGAAAACUUAGUGCCCCAAUUAAUACUAUCUUUAUCUCAAACCUCAUCUGAUCAUAUUGAACUAAAAGAUAAUUAUGCAAAUACAGAACAGCCUAUGGAAACCGAGCAAAAUACUCCUGAAUUACUUAAGGCAAUUUUGCAAAUAAAUCCACAUGUGUUUAAGGGGCCUCAAUAUAAUUCACCAAGAAAUUGGACCCAAGGCACACCUAUGAUGCACACCAAUCAAUCAUCCGCUAAUUAUGGACGAUUUUCACCAUCUUAUUCAAGUUCUUCAGGGUCAAGACAAACGCCUCAAGGUAGUCCAGCUCAUCCUGCUGCUGCUAGAACAGUACUACCACCGCCUACUGGUAUAAAUCCUCUACCUAAUAUGACCCCACAACCAAAUAUGUAUUCUCCGGCACAUAUGAGUUCUCCUGGUACGCCGCUAACAACUCUCGGUAACGUAACACCUCAACACCAUAAUAUGGCUGGUAUGACACCUCAACAUAAUAUGCAUAUGGCAUCUCCUAUGCGUGCUAAUAUACCUUUACAACAACAUCAACCUGUUAAUAUUCAGCAAAAUAUGUAUGAUCCUAUGAUGAAUCAACAAGUGCAUCAUCCAUUAGGAAAUCAUCAACCGAUGGAGAUGGAAAGUACAGUGCAAGAAAAUCAACAAUUUUUACUUGAUCCAGUAACAGGUCUUCCUGACAUCGAUAUACCGAUUGAAAAUAUCGAAGCGAAACAAAAUAUAGAUAAUGCGACGCAACAUCUUUUAUCUGCAACGCAAACCACAUCUUAUCCAAGUAUGGAUACCAGUCCUAUGAUCAAUCCGUUGAAUACUACGCCAACAACGAUGAUACAACACCAACAAAACAAUAAUUCAGAAAAAGGGAUGAAAAUGCCUGCCCCUUUGCCAGAGAAAUUAAAAGAACCGAUUGUCAUGUUAGAUAGAUUAUCUUUAGCGGAUCAAGCUUUAAUGCAGAAGAGUAUAGCCGCAUUUGCUGAAAAGUCUCCAAGUCGAGCUGCAAAAAUGGGGAUUUCUAAUCGCGAGGAUGUAAAGUCCGAGUCGGAAAGCGAGGAAGAAAUAGGUAAAAAUAACAAAUAUUUCAAAGCGCGUGCAAAAGAACGUCAAGUCCAAAGAGAAAAGGAAAAAGCUGAGAGGAAAAAAAGUGAAGACAAAAGUCGCAGACGAAGAAGGGUAUUGGAUGAUGAUGAGGAAGACGAUAAAAAGGAAGCUCUCACACCGUCGAAACCAAAAAUCAGAAAAAUUGAAAAGAAACUCGUUCCUGUUUUAGCUAAACUCAGUGUGGAAGAAUUAAUGGAAACCAAUACGUAUCAACGUUUUAACACAACUAUAGAAACGAUAUUCGAAAAUACAGAAGAUGUAGCAACCAAUGCUGAAUUAGAAGAUGAUGGUGAUGUGCCUCCAGAAUUGUUAAUUCCUAAAUAUCAAUUACAUGAUUUAUGUACAGAAGCAGCCAAGCUGAAGGCAUUAGGAGCAAUGGAAUCGAUUCCAGCAGAUAGAUUGGUUAGAUUAUUAAACAUUUUAGAGAAGAAUAUUCGGGACGGAGCUAAAGUAUCUCCGCUGGCGGAUCCGGAUGAUGACGUCGAUGAGAGUCGAUUAUGGACGCAAUUAGCUAUGGAAAGAGUACAGCGUGCAGUGGAUGCCUCUUUAAUUGCAUUACACAUUAUGACGUCCAGUAACAUGCCAAAAAUGGUCUACUUGGAAGACGUGAUCGACAGAAUAGUCCUUUUCAUGAAGUUUCAGUUACAAAAUACUAUUUAUCCUUCGUUUGAUCCAGUAUACAAAAUAGAUACAAAAAACAAGACUGACAAUUAUAAUUCUAGUGGUCGUAAGAAAAGGGGUCAUAUGAAAGAAGUACGAGAGAAAAGUAUCCUUCAGGUUUAUAAUAAAAUGCACGAAUUAGUUGGUCUUCUUGCUGAAUUAUUGAAUAUUCAAGUUCUAACAGACACUAGUGUUUUACAUGCCUCUACGUUAGGUGUCGCACCAUUUUUUGUUGAAUCUGUUAGCGAUCUUCAAUUGAGCGCUUUAAAACUGGUCACAGUAAUAUUCACUAAAUACGAGAAGCAUAGGAGAUUAUUGUUAGAUGAUAUUUUGGCAUCUAUAGCUCGACUUCCUAGUAGCAAAAGGAGCCUUAGGACAUACAGGUUAAAUUCUGAAGAUCACAUACAAAUGUUAACAGCCUUGGUUUUGCAGCUAAUCCAAUGUGUUGUUGUAUUAUCGGACAAUAUAAUUCCUCAACAGAAGAAAUCACAAGACGAAGAGGAGAAGAAAGAAGAGAAAAAGACCAGUUAUGUUGAUGCCGAUGUCUUAAUCAUAAAUAAAUACGAGACUGCUACGAGAAUAGCGGGAAAUUUUUUAACAGUGUUCUUGAACAAGUGCGGCAGCAAAGGUGAAGAAAUUGAUUACAGGCCACUGUUCGAGAAUUUCGUGCAAGAUUUAUUGGCCACGGUUAAUAAACCAGAAUGGCCAGCGGCUGAGUUGCUUCUCAGUUUACUUGGAAAUUUGUUAGUAGGUCAUUUUUCUAACAAAAGUUCUGAUAUGGCACUCAGAGUGGCCUCUAUCGACUACCUAGGUGUUGUAGCAGCCAGAUUAAGAAAAGAUGCAGUUAGUUCUCAAUGCAAACUGUCUACCAUCGAUCAGAUUAUUAAGGACAUCAAAAUCGAGCAGCAAAAAGAUUCUGAUUACGAUCAGGUAAAGGAUAAAGAAAUAAUAGGUUUGAACGAAGACGAGGAGCGGACGGUUUUUUUACAAAAGGUGCUCCUCGAUUAUUUAGCCGUGAAUGGAACCAAGGACUCCGCUUUAGGCUAUGCUCGCCAUUUUUAUUUGGCACAAUGGUACAGAGAUUGUGCCGUAGAAAAAUCUAGGGUCGGUCAAACGAAGAAUAGCCCAAGUAAGAAGAUGCACAAGAAAAAGAUAAAAAAGAAAAACAAACAUCACGCUAGCGAUCAGGAUUCGGAAUCAGAGCUGGAUGAACAGGAUGCAGACGAAAACGACAAUAACGAGCAGAAGAAUUCAGAAGCAUACAGAAUCAUAGAGGAGAAAAAGAAGUAUAUUAUAAGUAGAAUAAGACCGUACAGCACUGGCACGAAGCCGGAUAUACUUCAGACUUAUAUUGAUUAUAAUUCGGCGGAACUAAUAUCGCAAUAUCUCGCCUCAAAAAGGCCGUUUUCGCAGAGUUUCGAUCGGUACCUGAAACAGAUCCUGCACGUGCUUACAGAAUCGUCUAUCGCGAUCAGGACGAAGGCUAUGAAAUGCCUAACGAUGAUCGUUGAAGCGGAUCCGAGUGUGUUGGCGCGGGUAGAUAUGCAAUUGGGUGUGAAACAUUCGUUUUUAGAUCAUGCGACGUCGGUCCGCGAGGCGGCUGUUGAUCUAGUAGGAAAAUUUGUACUAAGUAGGCCCGAAUUAAUAGAUAAAUACUAUGAUAUGCUGUCGGCUAGAAUUCUAGAUACCGGCGUUAGCGUACGUAAGCGCGUGAUAAAAAUUCUAAAGGAUAUCUGUAUGGAGUGUCCUGACUUUCCUAAAAUUCCUGAAAUCUGCGUAAAGAUGAUCAGGCGGGUGAACGAUGAGGAAGGUAUUAGAAAAUUGGUAAUGGAAGUGUUUCAGAAUAUGUGGUUUACACCUGUCAGGGAACGCCCCACAUUGGAUUCCGAAUCGUUAUUGAGGAAAGUGAUGAACAUCACGGACGUUGUGGCAGCUAGUAAAGAUAUGGGUUUGGAAUGGUUCGAACAGCUGCUGGUUAGCUUGUUCAAGCCCAAAGAGGACAAAGACGAUAGUACAAAGAUGCAAACCGAGCCCCCAAAGGCAUUAUUGACGGCGUGCAAACAGAUUGUUGAUUGCUUGAUCGAGAACGUUCUUCGAUUGGAAGAGACGAAUCUGGAAGAAUCUGAGAAGACGGAGAAAAAGGGAUCCUCUCAAAGAUUAGUCGCUUGCUUGACAACUUUAUAUCUAUUUGCGAAAAUACGGCCACAAUUGCUAGUCAAUCACGCGAUUACGUUACAGCCUUAUCUAAGCUUGAAAUGUCAAACUCAGGGUGAUUAUCAGAUCAUCAGUAGUGUAGCACACACUUUGGAAUUAGUCGUACCAUUGAUGGAACAUCCUAGUGAGACUUUUUUAGCACAGCUGGAAGAAGAUUCGGUAAAAUUGAUCCUGCAACACGAUAGAUCGGUGGUGGCUAGCUGUUUAUCCUGUUUAGGCUCUAUAGUGAACAACGUGACCAGGAAUUUUAAAUUAAUACGAGACUGUUUUAAAAAAUAUUAUGGACAUCUGACUGAGUACAAAUCCUUUUACGAGAAAGAUCCUACGAAUCCUAUGCUUUUAAAAUAUCGACCAUUUGUCAGGAGAGCGUUGUUCACUGUUGGCUUAUUGCUGCGACACUUCAAUUUUACCGACCCAGAAGUAAUCGAGGGACUAGCAGAGAAUAUAAAGGAUCAAGUAUUUGAAACGUUGAACUAUUUCGUACAUCUGGACAACGACGAUAUUCGACAUUUUACUUUAUCUGCUAUUGGAUCUUUAUGUAUUCGUCAUUAUGAAUUCAUGUUACUUCCUGAGUUAAAAGAAUUGUAUCAUCAUUUGCUUACGUCAGAGAAUGCCUUGGUUCAUAUGAGGAUUCAAGUAUUGAACAAUAUCGAGGUAUACUUGUUGGAAGAGGACAAGAGAAUGAUCAAACAGGAUAUGGAAUGGGCGAAAAUGUCCAAACAAGAAAACUUAAAAGAAAUGGGAGAUGUUUCAUCAGGAAUGGCUAGUACUGUGAUUCAAUUAUAUGUGAAAGAAAUUUUAGAAUCUUUUUUGCAUGCAAACAUCAGUGUACGUCACGCAGCAUUGAAAGUGAUCCAAUUGAUUCUAGCUCAAGGUUUGGUCCAUCCGGUUCAAAUAGUUCCCUAUCUGAUCUGCAUGAGCACAGACUGCGAAAAAGUAGUCAGUCAUAGCGCGGAUAAGCAACUUCAAGACAUCGAGAAGAAGUAUCCUGGCUUUAUUCAUAUGAAAUCCCAAUUAGGUAUCAAGCUUAGCUAUCGGUUGCAGAAAAUUUUACAAACUGAUAUCACAGUGAGAGGAAUGAGGGUCAAAGAUGGCGAAUUUCCUGGUGCGUUAAAUGGUUUCCUUUAUACUAUCUUGAGGAACACGAAACAACAAAGAAGAGCCAUAGUAUUGUCUUUCUUAAAACAAUUUGACGAGUCUGCGAAAACUAGUUUAUCACAGAUGCUCUACUUGGCUGACAAUCUCGCUUACUUUACAUAUCAAGUGCAAGACGAGCCAUUGUUUAUCAUUCAUCAUAUUGAUAUUAUUAUUUCCAUGUCCGGUACGAAUCUUGUGCAGUCAUUUAAGGAGGCAUUACUACCAAAAGAAGGGAAUAGUCAACCACAGCAGCAUCAUCAUCAUUAUCAACAGCAGCAGCAGCAACAACAACAACAACUACAUCAACAACAACAUCAACAACAACAACAGCAACAAUACCAUCAGCAACAUCAUCAACAAAUUCAUACUCCUAUGGGACCGGAUGGACAGCCACGACCAGAGCAAUUAUUGUCAGUAUUGGAAGAUGAAGAGGAUGAUGAAGAAGAUGAGGAAUCGUUACUGGCAAGGUUACCAGGAGAUACUACGUUGCUUAGGGAUUAUAUCACCGCCAGCCAAGGUUUUUUGUUGCUGCUCACUUUAAGACAGCACUUGAAAGAUCUGUACGGUUUCUCUGACCAAAAAAUUGGCCAGUACUCGCCGACAGAGGCAGCGAAGGUGUACGAGAAAGCUGUGAACCGUAAGAGUAACUUGCUGUUCAAACCAAAGGCUACCCUGCAGAGAUUAAGGGAAGGCGUAAGUAAUGUCGAACUUGAUGCUGAGGGCAGGAAAAAAUUAGUGAAGGAGUAUUUGGACUUCAAACAAUUGAUGUUAAAGUUUGAUCUGGAAGAGCCUGAGGAAGAUGGAAACGAGGGUGACACGAGUGGCGGAGGUAGCAAACAAUCGAUAGAUGUUUCUAACAAAAUGUCUGAACCGGACAAUAAAAUGGAAAUCACUGUGACGAGCAAUCCCCAGAUGGUAAAUCAAUAUCAAGCCAAUAUGAACUCGUCUAUUGAGCAUCCGAACAAUUCGAUAAACUCGAUGCCCACUGGUGGUUCCAUUCCGGUCACCAUGCCUGUCCACAGAUCACCGCCAGUUGCUAUGAACGCGGCGCCAGCAUCGCAAAUUGCAUCACCACGUGUGCCCAAGCUGACGAUACACGCGCAUCAUCCAGAGGGAGUGAAGGAACAUCGUAAACACCGGGCGCAUAAAACGGAAAAAGUGAAAAAACAUAAGAAGAAGAAGAGGAGAAGAAUUUCCGAUAGUAGCGAGAGCGGCGAGGACUACAGUGAUCCUGACUUUUUAGUGUGAGUGCAGUGGUGUAUCUCUGCGUCCGUUGUGUACAUAUUACAUACUAAUUACAAGAAUUAUAAUAAUAAUAUGAUAAUUGACGCGUGUUUCGCGUGGUUGAUGUGCGUGCUGGUAUGCGUGCGACGUUUUCUUGGUGCGUUUUGUGUCGCUCGUAAGUGAGAAGGCGUUCCGUUUUCUCUUCUGUUUUUCUUUUUUUGCGCAACGAAAUUGGAACAGAAGGAAGAGAAAGAAAUAUGACACUAUAAUAGAAUAUAUGACACUGAUGUUAUAGAGAAUACCAGUGCCGGACGCUCUGAAAUCGCGACGGACUUCAUCGAUCAUGGAAAUGGACUAAAAUUUUUAGCGAAACUAAACAAAAAAAAAAAAAAAGGAAAAGUUAUAUGAAUAAAAGCGAUACUGAUGUACAGAGGAUGGUGGUGCUCUGUGGGAAUGCGUGCGAUUUUGUUUGCGAUAAUUUGAUUGGGAGGGAAUGAGAGAGAGAGAGAAAGAGAGAGAGAGAGAGGAGAGAGAGAGAGAAUGGAAACGCAUAGAAGAGUGGAUCCGUUUAGACUUGCUCCACAGUAAUGUAUAAUAAACAAGUGUAGUUAAAAGAGAUUAAAACAAGAAAAAAGAAACAAAAUGAAAGAAAACAGAAACACAUUGCCUAUGCAUUAUGAGAGAGAGGAGAGAGGAGAGAGAGAAGAAAACAAAAAAAAACGUUGUUUGUAAUAUCUGUACAUACAUAAAUUUCAAGUAAAGUAUCUUAUUUUCUUACAAACUAUAUAGCGAUGACAUUACGAAAGAAUACUUAAAAUUUUGUUGUAAUAUUAAGUAUUUAUUCAGAAUUCAUGUUGUCCCAAUAUAGUUUGCUUUAUGCACACAACUCGUCUUUUGGUGUAAUUAAAAAAAAAAAAAAAAAAGAACUAUCGUUUUUAUACAAGCUUAGGAAUAAAUGAAAUAAAAACAAAAUAAAAAAGUGCAGAACGAAAAGAAAGAGGAAAAAUACGAGGAAGAAGGAUAAUUGAAUGAAUACAGAAAGAAAAGAAAUGCGAUCUAUUAAUUUUCGAUUUGGAGAAUGAACGAAAUUAUUAUGGGUGAGGAUAGGAUAGGAUAAGAUCAAGGAAGAAAGGCAGACGAGAAGGAAAAACCCGUGAAAAAAA